CUGAACCAUGAACAAUGUAGUCUUUGUAAGAAGGCACAGAAGUGUAGCCUAAAUUUUAAAAGCCUUUAGUGUUGCAAUGGAUAGAUGUUGGCACUUGAAGACAAGCUUUGCCUCUCUAGAAAAUUCAUCCAUGUGGAACCUCUCUUUGCCUGAAGAUGCUAGAGUGAAGCAUCUAACUUUAUGCUAUAAAAAUCUAAAUGACAACACGAGGCAGGAGGACAUGCACUGGAUUUAGUUUCAGGAAAUAUCUGGGUUUGAAGUUCAUCUCUAGAACUACAUUUGGAAUGAUGCUGGGAAGCCAAGUUAUGUUGGGAAUGUUCCUCAGACCUCACAAAGCAUUUUUCAUUUAUAACUCUCUAAUACACUCAUAAUUUAUUCAUUUAUUCAAAAAACCUUAAUGACUAAUUUAUGUGUAAGAAAGUUAAUUCUGUCA
RNAcentral lists this long non-coding RNA (433 nucleotides) under Monodelphis domestica (gray short-tailed opossum). RNAcentral's name for it is "lncRNA (ENSMODG00000049732.1)". The record is from RNAcentral. Lineage: Eukaryota; Metazoa; Chordata; Mammalia; Didelphimorphia; Didelphidae.